RNAcentral lists this ribosomal RNA (492 nucleotides) under uncultured bacterium. Its description in RNAcentral is "partial 16S ribosomal RNA". It matches the Rfam family "Bacterial small subunit ribosomal RNA", at positions 29 to 507 of the family's 1533-position model. The record is from RNAcentral.
AGUGAACGCUGGCGGUAGGCCUAACACAUGCAAGUCGAACGGCAGCACAGUAAGAGCUUGCUCUUACGGGUGGCGAGUGGCGGACGGGUGAGGAAUACAUCGGAAUCUACUUUUUCGUGGGGGAUAACGUAGGGAAACUUCCGCUAAUACCGCAUACGACCUACGGGUGAAAGCAGUGGAUCUUCGGACCUUGCGCGAUUGAAUGAGCCGAUGUCGGAUUAGCUAGUUGGCGGGGUAAAGGCCCACCAAGGCGACGAUCCGUAGCUGGUCUGAGAGGAUGAUCAGCCACACUGGAACUGAGACCCGGUCCAGACUCCUACGGGAGGCAGCAGUGGGGAAUAUUGGACAAUGGGCGGAAGCCUGAUCCAGCCAUACCGCGUGGGUGAAGAAGGCCUUCGGGUUGUAAAGCCUUUUUGUUGGGAAAGAAAAGCAGCAGGUUAAUACCACGCUGUUCUGACGGUACCCAAAGAAUAAGCCCCGGCUAACUUCGUG